AUGCCACCGAAGAAGAAGGCUUCGGAGGUGGCUGCUCCGUCCGCGUCGAUCCCACCACCACCGGAGCAAACGAGUGGUGGGGUAGACGCCGGCGGAAGAACGGGCGUCGACGAGGGAGCUCAUGGUGCUGCCAAGUCCAAGGACAAGGCUGCGCAGACCUCGACGUCCGUACAAGCACCGCGCCCAUCUCAGGAGCCGCGGGACCGACAACGUCAUGGUACUCGCGCUACCAUACUUUCGUUGGACCGAGAUCGAGCUGGUGGAUCUCGGGAUGCUCAAGACCAGCAUGCACGCCAACAUGCUGGCACGAGCAAGACACGGUCGCCUGGACGGGAUACUGCUCCUUCUAACAUAGUUAGAAGUCCGAGCAUAUCCCGCUCCUCGCACCGUUCGCCACUACCACCCACCACUCCAGCAGAAGAUUUAGCGCGAGCUCAACUGCUCCUGGAUUACCCUCCAUUGGCGGACAAGAUCGACGAAUGGAGGGCCACCAUUCAGAGUCUCAUCGGCUUCGCCAACGGCGACACUCCACGGCAGCCGAAUACAUCACACCACGGCAAGAUUGCCAGGCAUGAACUGAUGGCGACAAAACCGGUGGGGGUGAAACCAUCAUGCACUCUCCGCCCCGAAGGCCAAGAUCGCCGACUCGCC
RNAcentral lists this ribosomal RNA (651 nucleotides) under Triticum aestivum (bread wheat). RNAcentral describes it as "partial small subunit ribosomal RNA". Lineage: Eukaryota; Viridiplantae; Streptophyta; Magnoliopsida; Poales; Poaceae. The record is from RNAcentral.